RNAcentral lists this ribosomal RNA (884 nucleotides) under Atypoides riversi. Its description in RNAcentral is "partial 28S ribosomal RNA". It matches the Rfam family "Eukaryotic large subunit ribosomal RNA", at positions 363 to 892 of the family's 3401-position model. Lineage: Eukaryota; Metazoa; Arthropoda; Arachnida; Araneae; Antrodiaetidae. The record is from RNAcentral.
GUUGCAAAGAACUUUGAAGAGAGAGUUCAAGAGUACGUGAAACUGCUGAGAGGCAAACUGGUGGGCCCUCGAAAUCCCGUUUGCGGGGAGAUUCAGUCGGGUGUCGGCGGCCGUCUCUAAAAUGGGUCUGUCGCAACCGAAGAUCGGGGCACAUUCCGAGGGACGAGUUCCGCUGGAACCCGACGCAUUUCCCGCCCGCACGAAAGGAACGCCGCAGCCGGUCGGGUAGCUGCGCGUGUCGGCCAUGAGGACGUUGCAACGGCAGGUGACCGGCGGCCCYAGGCUUCUCCGGAGGCACUGACGGUCGACGGUUGAUUAGCCGGCUCGUCCGUGGCGCGACACCCGACCGAGGUAAAGAGAGAGACAGAGAUGGGGAUAACGUCUCCACGGAGACGUCCCCGUCUGCAAUCCACUACUUUCAAACGAGAGAGCGAGCCGUCGGACAGGCGCGUUCCUGCGUGGUCGGACAGUCACCGCACUGGUCGAUCUGGUGGGAGCGCGUCGAUCGUACCGAGUCAGGAUCUCGCGGAGGAUGAAGGCUGGCGGCGAGUAGGUCGGUAACCCACCCGACCCGUCUUGAAACACGGACCAAGGAGUCUAACAUGUGCGCAAGUCGCGGGGUCUUGUUCAGGCCCAGAGGCGAAAUGAAAGUGAAGGCCGCCGCUUCCCCUUAUUCAGUUAGGGGCGGAGUGAGGCGGCCAGGUCGGGACUCGCACGUGACACGGGACGUGACGAAGCACCGACGACCCGCCCUGUUCUAUCUUCUGGAUAGGAACUCAAACGGAGUUCGAGCGCACACGUUGGGACCCGAAAGAUGGUGAACUAUGCCUGGGCAGGACGAAGCCAGAGGAAACUCUGGUGGAGGUCCGCAGCGGUUCUGACGU